Long non-coding RNA from Cavia porcellus (domestic guinea pig), 278 nucleotides. RefSeq lists it as uncharacterized. The transcript is spliced from 3 exons. Lineage: Eukaryota; Metazoa; Chordata; Mammalia; Rodentia; Caviidae. The record is from RefSeq and is a predicted model, not a curated record.
ACAGGGCAACUUUGAUCUGACAGUGUACAGCAUUUCCAUCUCAGUUUCUCUGAAUUUUGGGAAGGACCAGUCUGGAAGACCCACUGCCUCUGUGGCCCAGUGCAGCAACUCCAUUGGCCGUGUCAGGGUUCACAUUUCUGGAAGCUUAAGCUGGAUCCUAAACCUCUCCCAUGAAGGAAUUGAAAACAAUAUCAAAAGAAUAUUGCAACAAAAGAUCUGUGAGAUGAUCAGGCAGUCCACCACUUCUUACCUGGAGCCCUAUCUCAGAACUCUACCAG